UUGCUCCACCGGAAAAAGAGGAGUGGCGAACGGGUGAGUAACACGUGGGUAACCUGCCCAUCAGAAGGGGAUAACACUUGGAAACAGGUGCUAAUACCGUAUAACAAUCAAAACCGCAUGGUUUUGAUUUGAAAGGCGCUUUUGGGUGUCGCUGAUGGAUGGACCCGCGGUGCAUUAGCUAGUUGGUGAGGUAACGGCUCACCAAGGCCACGAUGCAUAGCCGACCUGAGAGGGUGAUCGGCCACAUUGGGACUGAGACACGGCCCAAACUCCUACGGGAGACAGCAGUAGGGAAUCUUCGGCAAUGGACGAAAGUCUGACCGAGCAACGCCGCGUGAGUGAAGAAGGUUUUCGGAUCGUAAAACUCUGUUGUUAGAGAAGAACAAGGAUGAGAGUAACUGUUCAUCCCUUGACGGUAUCUAACCAGAAAGCCACGGCUAACUACGUGCCAGCAGCCGCGGUAAUACGUAGGUGGCAAGCGUUGUCCGGAUUUAUUGGGCGUAAAGCGAGCGCAGGCGGUUUCUUAAGUCUGAUGUGAAAGCCCCCGGCUCAACCGGGGAGGGUCAUUGGAAACUGGGAGACUUGAGUGCAGAAGAGGAGAGUGGAAUUCCAUGUGUAGCGGUGAAUGCGUAGAUAUAUGGAGGACACCAGUGGCGAAGCGGCUCUCUGGUCUGUAACUGACGCUGAGG
Molecule: ribosomal RNA, 689 nt
Filed under: uncultured Bacilli bacterium
Lineage: Bacteria; Bacillati; Bacillota; Bacilli
Description: bacterial SSU rRNA
Rfam family: Bacterial small subunit ribosomal RNA
Source: RNAcentral